UACAGAGGGUGCGAGCGUUAAUCGGAAUUACUGGGCGUAAAGGGCGCGUAGGCGGUCUUAUAAGUUGGUUGUGAAAUCCCUGGGCUUAACCUAGGAACUGCAAACAAUACUGUGAGACUGGAGUGCGGUAGAGGGUAGUGGAAUUUCCGGUGUAGCGGUGAAAUGCGUAGAUAUCGGAAGGAACACCAGUGGCGAAGGCGGCUACCUGGACUGACACUGACGCUGAGGCGCGAGAGCGUGGGGAGCAAACAGG
Molecule: ribosomal RNA, 253 nt
Filed under: uncultured bacterium
Lineage: Bacteria
Description: partial 16S ribosomal RNA
Rfam family: Bacterial small subunit ribosomal RNA
Source: RNAcentral